UUAGCAUUUGAAAGUCUGAGACAGUGUC
This 28-nucleotide non-coding RNA is filed under the name Mus musculus (house mouse). The record is from RNAcentral. Lineage: Eukaryota; Metazoa; Chordata; Mammalia; Rodentia; Muridae.